AGUUUUGAGCUAAAUAUAUUAUAAUAUUAGUUUAUUUAUGAAGGUGUUGUAAAACCUUAUUUAAAAUUAUAUUUAGGGGUGAUAGGCCUUUCAAAAACUAAGAUAUCUUGAAUCUAAUUAAAAGUAUGUAGUACAUUCAACACAACUAUUAAGUGAUUAGGCUUUAUAGAACUAUUAACUUAUAAGGAUUUUUAUUUAUUAUAAUUUAAUAAUUAAGUAUAUAAAUAGAAUAAUAUACAUAUAUUAUAGUUUAUAAGGAGUAAUUAGAUAAAUUAAAGUUCAUAAAUUUUGUAAUAAUGUUAAUAUUAGUAUUAAGUUUAUAUUUAUAUGAUGAACUCGGCAAAAAUGUUUCUCAACUGUUUAUCAAAAACAUAACUAUGUGUAUAAAUACAUAGCGGUUUCUGCUCAA
Molecule: ribosomal RNA, 409 nt
Filed under: Mandarina conus
Lineage: Eukaryota; Metazoa; Mollusca; Gastropoda; Stylommatophora; Camaenidae
Description: partial 16S ribosomal RNA
Source: RNAcentral